GUUUGUCACUCCCCGUGCCGUGUUCGUCGUCUUCCUGGUUUCCUUAUGUCCUGUCAUCCUCCCGCCCUCCCCUGGAUCAGAUCUCCUCGAUGGAGACUUUUCAGUAUGUCAACUCACCUGUGGAUGAAAGAAGAGAGAGGAGGAAGGAUAAUGUUCCAUCAGGAGGAUCCAAAAUCUUCAUGUUAGUGGGAGUGAGUUUUGGCCUGCUCUGCAUCAUACAGGCUGCUCUCAAUGUAUCUCUACGGCUGCAACCUGCAGGGAGUUCAGACAGAUUGAACAAUAGCAAUUUGACCACGAUGUCAGAUGAUGAUGUCAGAAACAACCUGAUCAUGGAGCGAGAC
Long non-coding RNA from Parambassis ranga (Indian glassy fish), 341 nucleotides. The record is from Ensembl. NCBI's taxonomy places the organism in Eukaryota, Metazoa, Chordata, Actinopteri, Ambassidae.